This is a long non-coding RNA of Lucilia cuprina (Australian sheep blowfly), 344 nucleotides long. RefSeq lists it as uncharacterized. Lineage: Eukaryota; Metazoa; Arthropoda; Insecta; Diptera; Calliphoridae. The record is from RefSeq and is a predicted model, not a curated record. The transcript has 2 exons.
UUAAGUUUUGCUUAGAUUUUCAAAACAAACACUAAUUUAAAACUUCAUAUAAAUAAUAGGUUUAGCCACUAAAUCAAACAUCAUUGUUCAACAUUCCGUGUCAAUAAGAUGAAAUUCUACGCUACAUUUAUUUUGGUAUUAGCUUUAAUAGCUUGUGCCUUGGCUAAUCCCAAUCCCUUGCCAAAUCCUAAACCAUUAGGUGGCGGAGGAGGAGGUGGCGGCGGCGGAGGAGGAGGUGGUGGCGGUGGAGGAGGUGGUGGUGGAAAGUAAAUUGUUCACCUUUUAUAUAGAACAAAUAUUGAAAUAAAAGUAUUGUUUAAAAUAAUUCUUACGAUUUUACAUUC